CAUGGUUGUCGUCAGCUCGUGUCGUGAGAUGUUGGGUUAAGUCCCGCAACGAGCGCAACCCUUGUGUUUAGUUGCAAACAAGGUCAAGCUGUGCACUCUAGACAGACUGCCGUGGACAACAACGGAGGAAGGUGGGGAGUGACGUCAAAUACAUCAUGCCCCUUACUGAUCUGGGCUACACACGUGCUACAAUGGCCGGUACAACGGGCAGCGAAGGAGCGAUCCGGAGCGAAUCCUAAAAAGCCGGUCCCAGUUCGGAUUGCAGGCUGAAACUCGCCUACAUGAAGUUGGAGUUGCUAGUAAUCGCGAAUCAGAAUGUCGCGGUGAAUACGUUCCCGGGUCUU
This 344-nucleotide ribosomal RNA is filed under the name uncultured Fusibacter sp. RNAcentral's name for it is "bacterial SSU rRNA". It matches the Rfam family "Bacterial small subunit ribosomal RNA", at positions 1044 to 1382 of the family's 1533-position model. The record is from RNAcentral. Lineage: Bacteria; Bacillati; Bacillota; Clostridia; Eubacteriales; Fusibacteraceae.